AGGACGAACGCUGGCGGCGUGCCUAACACAUGCAAGUCGAACGAGAAUCGAUGGAUUGCGGCUUCGGCCAAAUGAAGUUGAGGAAAGUGGCGAACGGGUGAGUAACGCGUGAGAAACCUGCCUUUCAGUGGGGGACAACAGUUGGAAACGACUGCUAAUACCGCAUAACACUUUAGUACCGCAUGGUACAGAAGUCAAAGCUUUAUGUGCUGAGAGAUGGUCUCGCGUCUGAUUAGCUAGAUGGCGGGGUAACGGCCCACCAUGGCGACGAUCAGUAGCCGGUCUGAGAGGAUGAACGGCCACAUUGGGACUGAGAUACGGCCCAGACUCCUACGGGAGGCAGCAGUGGGGAAUAUUGGGCAAUGGGGGAAACCCUGACCCAGCAACGCCGCGUGAAGGAAGAAGGCCUUCGGGUUGUAAACUUCUUUUACCAGGGACGAAGAACGUGACGGUACCUGGAGAAAAAGCCACGGCUAACUACGUG
This 484-nucleotide ribosomal RNA is filed under the name uncultured bacterium. Its description in RNAcentral is "bacterial SSU rRNA". It matches the Rfam family "Bacterial small subunit ribosomal RNA", at positions 26 to 507 of the family's 1533-position model. The record is from RNAcentral.